GUUUUCGGAUCGUAAAGCUCUGUUGUAAGAGAAGAACGGGUGUGAGAGUGGAAAGUUCACACUGUGACGGUAUCUUACCAGAAAGGGACGGCUAACUACGUGCCAGCAGCCGCGGUAAUACGUAGGUCCCGAGCGUUGUCCGGAUUUAUUGGGCGUAAAGCGAGCGCAGGCGGUUAGAUAAGUCUGAAGUUAAAGGCUGUGGCUUAACCAUAGUACGCUUUGGAAACUGUUUAACUUGAGUGCAGAAGGGGAGAGUGGAAUUCCAUGUGUAGCGGUGAAAUGCGUAGAUAUAUGGAGGAACACCGGUGGCGAAAGCGGCUCUCUGGUCUGUAACUGACGCUGAGGCUCGAAAGCGUGGGGAGCGAACAGGAUUAGAUACCCUGGUAGUCCACGCCGUAAACGAUGAGUGCUAGGUGUUAGGCCCUUUCCGGGGCUUAGUGCCGCAGCUAACGCAUUAAGCACUCCGCCUGGGGAGUACGACCGCAAGGUUGAAACUCAAAGGAAUUGACGGGGGCCCGCACAAG
Molecule: ribosomal RNA, 524 nt
Filed under: uncultured bacterium
Lineage: Bacteria
Description: bacterial SSU rRNA
Rfam family: Bacterial small subunit ribosomal RNA
Source: RNAcentral